AUCAUAACUGUCACUGACGUUUUUUUUUUUUUUUUUUUUUUUUUUUUUCCCCUUUCUUUCUUUAAUCAAAAUUGUUUUUAACUUUGGCAGGGAUGUCAGUUGUUGGAAAAUUCGAAUUUAUUUUGCUUGCUUUUUUAUUCUGAAACUUUAAAAUCCUGCAAAAUUUCAAAUGUAAAUUGAGAUCAGCAUCGGAGCUAAGAAAGUGAAGCGUGUGUUUAAAAUAUUUUUGAAUAAUGAGGAUUGAAAUAAAAUAAUCAAGAUUCAUCACACAUGAUGAUUCCAUAAAAGAUUUCUGAGUGAUCCCAAGAGAAACCAAAAGAUCAUCAAAUAUAUUAUUCCUGAUUUCCAUCAUCCCCUUAUCAAGAGUCAUGUAACCACCUAGGCGGGAAAGU
This 392-nucleotide long non-coding RNA is filed under the name Stegodyphus dumicola. RNAcentral's name for it is "uncharacterized LOC118199630, transcript variant X2". The record is from RNAcentral. Lineage: Eukaryota; Metazoa; Arthropoda; Arachnida; Araneae; Eresidae.